Molecule: ribosomal RNA, 1101 nt
Filed under: Triticum aestivum (bread wheat)
Lineage: Eukaryota; Viridiplantae; Streptophyta; Magnoliopsida; Poales; Poaceae
Description: partial small subunit ribosomal RNA
Source: RNAcentral
AUGAAGCUUCUUCCGGCCACCCUCGGCCUCGUCUUAGUCCUCCUCCUCGUUCUGAAUCCCAAUGGUGUCGAGGCCCGGCCUGCGCCUACCGAUGGCCAUCAGAAAAAGCCGUCGAGCAACACCUUCUUCGUCUUCGGGGAUGACUUCGCCGACAACGGGAACCUCCCUCCGACCAACCCUGUUACCGAGAUGUCGCGGCAGUGGGCCUACCCCUACGGCUCCGGCUACGUCGACGCCGAUGGGUUUCCGCGGCCGAAUACUCCGUCCGGCCGCUUCUCAAACUACAAGAUCCAAUCAGAUUUCAUCGCAACAAUGUUAGGCUUGGAGGAAGCCCCUCCGGCGCAUGCCCACACGGCAGAGAAAACCUGCGACCCCUCGGGCAUGACCUUUGCUUAUGGUGGCUCUGGGGUGUUUGAUAGUACGUCAAACGAUGUCCCCACCCUCGCCAAGCAGGUGGAGACUUUCAAGAAGAUGGUCAAGGACAUGACCAUCACAAAGAAGCAAUUGAGUGGCUCCGUAGCGCUCGUGGCCUUCUCCGGCAAUGAUUAUGCAAGCACCGGCGUCAUCGGCCUAACUAACCCCAAGGAUAUCAAUGCUUAUAUUGGGAAGGUGACCAAGGAGAUUGUGGCCAAUGUGGAGCAGUUGCAGAAGAUUGGGGUGAAAAAAGUUCUCGUGAACAACUUGCACCCCAUCGGUUGCACGCCAUCACAAACUCGAACCAACAACUACACCGCAUGCGAUAUCUUUGGGAAUUUGGGCGCAUCGAUCCAUAACAGUAACUUGCAACAAGUGAUGGAGGCAAAGAAAAAUGUCCACAUUAUUGAUCUAUACACCGCGUUCACAAAUAUUGUGGAUCAUGUGCCGGGUAAAGGCUCAGAGCUAUCCAAACAGUUCAAGCGCAAGAUGUCGCCGUGUUGCGAGAGCUUGAAUUCAAAGGGUUACUGUGGAGAACAGGGCGAGUCAUCGGAGCUUCUUUACAAUGUGUGUGAUAAGUCCAACAAUUUUUUCUACUGGGACGACAUGCACCCGACGCAUGCCGGGUGGGAGGCGGUCAUGAAGCAGUUGGAAAGGCCUCUGAGAGAGUUUAUAGAUCAAGACUAG